CACGUAGGGUGCGAGCGUUAAUCGGAAUUACUGGGCGUAAAGCGUGCGCAGGCGGUUUUGUAAGCCAGAUGUGAAAGCCCCGGGCCUAACCUGGGAAUGGCAUUUGGGACUGCAAGGCUGGAGUGUGGCAGAGGAGACUGGAAUUCCUGGUGUAGCAGUGAAAUGCGUAGAUAUCAGGAGGAAUACCGAUGGCGAAGGCAGGUCUCUGGGCUGACACUGACGCUCAUGCACGAAAGCGUGGGGAGCAAACAGG
Molecule: ribosomal RNA, 253 nt
Filed under: uncultured bacterium
Lineage: Bacteria
Description: partial 16S ribosomal RNA
Rfam family: Bacterial small subunit ribosomal RNA
Source: RNAcentral